Molecule: long non-coding RNA, 4934 nt
Filed under: Olea europaea subsp. europaea
Lineage: Eukaryota; Viridiplantae; Streptophyta; Magnoliopsida; Lamiales; Oleaceae
Source: RNAcentral
UAAGAAAGAAAGAAAAGAAAAUCUUUGAACUCUACAAAGAAAAAUGGAUGAGGUUUUGUUGUUGAAAGAAGAGACAGAAGGGAAGAGAGAGAGAGUGAGAUGGGGUGUAUUGAUAGGUGAGGAGAUGAAGAGACUGGGGUAUUUAGCAGGACCUAUGGUAGCAGUGACUCUUUCACAGUAUUUGCUUCAAGUAAUAUCAGUAAUGAUGGUUGGUCAUUUGGGUGAGCUCUCUCUUUCCAGCACCGCCAUAGCCAUAUCUCUCUGUGGUGUCACUGGUUUCAGCUUUCUUGUAAGUUGUACACAUAACUGUGUCAUGCUUUGCUUUGUUAAUGUUGAAUUCUGUGAUUUCUUGUUUAUAUUUGCCUGUAUUAAUCACGUAUCGGUAGAUACUUAGGUUCAAAGGAGAAGUUUUGGAUAUUUGAUUGGAUAGGAUCACAGAUUGGAGACGUACAUGUCAUAAAAUUUGUCACUUGUCUUGCUGAGUCGUUGGAAUGCUAAACUUAAGCAUGAAAGCAACUUUUAAGAUUGGACAGUGUAAAUUUUUAGUACCUUUUUACUUUUUUUACUUAUUUUGUAGCCAAACGUCCUAUAAAUACGUAUGAGAGGUGCUGCUGCUGCCCGCAACUCUCAACUGCUAACUUAGAUUUUCUUUGGGAUGCGACCUGAUAAAAACGCUGUAACAAAGUAAAAUUUAUGACAAUAAGAUCCGUUUGAUUGUAAAGAUGGAAUUUGGGUGAAAAGAAAACGAAUUCUUUUUAUUGCAAAAAUGAAAUUUGGGUGGAAAAAAAAUAAAUUUCAGAGAAUUAAAUUCUCUAGAAAUUAUUUUAUUGGGAAUUGUUAAUUAAUAGUAUUUGAUUGAUAUAAUUUUUCACUUGAAAAUGUUGAAAUAAAAUGUCUUUUGAUGUUCGUUUGACUUUUUUUUUUUAAUGAAAAUUGUCAAUUUAAGGGAUAUUUACUUCUACAAUUAUUUUUAAAAUUUGUUUUUAUUGCAAAAAAAAAAAUUCCAAAAAAUCAUAUAACUUUUGAUAUUCGUUUGAUUUUAUUUUACAUGAAAAUUGUCUAUCUAAGGAAUAUUCUUUUUUAUAAUUGUUCAUAAAAUUUGUCAAAAAAAAAAAAACGUGGAUUUUGUUGGGAAUUGCUUUUCCUCAAAAAGCUAAAAAAAUCUGAUGUGACAAGGAUUUGGGAAAAAUCAUUUCCAUGAAAAAAUUCUGCCAUCAAAUAAGCUAAAAAGUGGAAAAUGGAAUCCAAUUUUCAUUUUCCAUGGAAAAGAGUUGCCUAUCAAACAAAUGUGCAAGACUGAUGAUUAGACCAGAAAACUGUCUGACACGAGUCCAAAAAUGAUUCUUUUGCUUAUUAAAAUCAAAUAUAUAAUCAACAGGAAAAUAUGAACAGCAUCUUUGUCACGUGUGAUUGUGCAUAUUUUACACAUCUGCCGAGAAUGUCCAUCUCAUUAUGUUACAUUAGACUGACUAGAUUUCACAUCAAAUUUUUCUUGUAAAACUCUAGAGCUACAUCAAAUUUUGCAUUAUUUUACAUCAAAUUUUGCAUCAAACUAAAUCAAAUGAACAAUGUUUAACCAUUUUUUUUCAUUUUUUAUUCUUUAUAAUUUAUUUAUUUGAAAUAUUAUUUAUUUAAUUAUUUUCUAAAUACAUAAAUUAGUAAAUAAAUAAUUAGGUUAAAUUAAGGAAAAGAUUAAAUUCAUUAAUAUAUUUCGUUUUGUUUAAAUAAAAUUAGAUUAUCGUAUUAUGUCGUUGUUUAAUAUAUUUCGUGUUAAUUUUAAUAAAUAAUCGUGUUCGUUAUAUUUUAAAUUUUUUUCUUCUUUUAAUUAGUUUGUUAAAUAUUAUUUCUUACAUUUAAAAUUUAUUUUAUGCUAAUAAUAAUAAUAAUAAUAAUUUAUUGUAUUAAAAAAAUAUAUAGCACAACUGACACAAAUACCUUUAACAAAUUUAUUUGAGAAAUGAUAAAAAUGAGCAAAAGACACUUUGCACCAUUUUCCACCAAAAUGGUGCAAAGUAUAGUGUUGCAUUGAAGCAAUUUUGUAUCAAAAAAUGGUGCAAUUUGGUGAUUUGGUGUAACCACUGGAGUUGCCCUUAGACCUCUCAAAAAAUUUGAUAUUGUUUUAUAUUAUUGAUGUACAGUAGUGUCAUCUCGUGUCUUGUAAGAUGGACUUUAGUGCAUUGACUGACCUUCAUUUUCGUACUUGUACAUUGCUGUUUGGGUUCAAUGUCAGUAAUACCAUUACAGUUCUUGAAGUUCAUUGCACCAGUAAAUCACGGACCUUUGUGAUUAUGUACAUACACCUGAUUUAGUAUAAGAAUGUUGUUUAUUCUAUUAUUAAACAUUGGAUUAUUGUGCAAUUUCCGAAAAUCGCAGGGGAAUAAAAAGUCUAGAAUCUUAAGAACACUUUUGUAAUGAAAAGAAAUAGAUCCAUAGUUAAAAAUUAAACAUUUAUCUGACUUGAUCUCUCUGGGUGUGAAACAGUUAGGUAUGGCAAGUGCUCUGGAAACUCUAAGUGGACAAGCAUAUGGUGCUCAACAAUAUAAAAGAAUCGGAACUCAAACUUACACCGCCAUUUUUUCACUGAUUAUUAUUUGCAUUCCUCUCUCGGUCUUGUGGAUAUUCUUGGGAAAGGUACUCGUUUUUGUAGACCAAGAUCCUCAGAUUUCGUAUGAAGCUGGAAAAUAUACAAUGUGGCUUGUUCCUGCCCUUUUCGGCUAUGCUACGCUUCAACCACUCAUUCGGUAUUUUCAAAUACAAAGUAUGAUCCUUCCCAUGCUCAUAAGCUCAUGCCUCACAAUCUGUUUCCACAUAGCUGUCUGCUGGGUUCUUGUAUUUAAUUUCGGAUUAAAGAUUAUUGGAGCUGCUGUAGCCAUGGACCUUUCGAUGUGGUUAAAUGUUACCAUUCUCGGUUUGUACAUGAAGUUCUCUUCCAAAUGUGAGAAAACUCGUGCCCCCAUUUCCAUGGAGAUAUUCACAGGAAUGAAAGAGUUUUUCCGCUUUGCCAUUCCUUCUGCUGUAAUGAUUUGGUAACACUCACUUCCUGUCUCCCUCUCUGUUCACUCGUGCUUUCUACACACACGCAGGCACCAAGUUUCUCGUUAUGAUUCCUAACAAUUUAAUGCAUUUUACAUUUGAUGAUGCUAGUCUUGAAUGGUGGUCAUUUGAGCUACUUAUCUUGCUAUCAGGGCUUUUACCUAAUCCACAGCUUGAAACCUCAGUGCUAUCCGUGUGGUAUGUUCUUCGCAAACCUCAACGAUGAUAGAAUAAAAGGGUUAAAUGCACUUGUCAUCAUUAAACUCUAGUGAAAUUUCCUGUUCGCCAUUAAUGUAAACUUGGUUUUGGCUACUGAACUUGUACAUUUGAUAUAAUUUGAUCACCCCUUCCAUAUCCAUUAUGUUGACCUACGGAAAAGGUGACACAACAGUUACUUAUUUGUCAACUAGGCUAUCAACUAGACGACCGUGUAAUUUUUUUAGUUAGUUAAACUAAUGGGCAUGGAAUGACCAAAUUGUUACAAACGUCCAAGUUCAGUAACUAAUUUGAAACAAAGUUUACGCUCAAUGAUCAACUUGGCACAAAAUGAGUUUAGAGACCUGAUUCUAAUUGCCUUGUUAUGAACAGCCUCAACACCCUCUCUACACUAUAUGCAAUACCAUAUGGAUUAGCUGCUGCUGCAAGGUGCCUUCUGCAUCUGAUAUGUAUGCUUAAUUUGCUUGGAAUGGUACUUGUAAUUCUAAAAAUUGCAUUGAUCUAAAUAUUCAGCACAAGAAUUUCGAAUGAGUUAGGGGCCGGAAAUCCACAGGGAGCUCGUGUAUCCACUAUUUCUCUGAUGCUUAUUGCAACUGUAGAAGCAAUAACAGUGAGCACAAUCAUCUUUGUUAGCCGGCACGUUUUUGGCUACAUUUUCAGCAAUGAGGAGGAAGUUGUGGACUAUGUCACAAAUAUGGCUCCUCUUCUUUGUCUAUCUACUAUAAUGGACAGCAUUCAAGGGACCCUUGCAGGUUAUUUAUUUUAACAAUCAUGUCUAUCAUAUAAAAUUUAAUCGUAAUUCUAGUAACUUGGGGCAUCUUUUUUCAUUUUUGGUUUUCAGGUGUCACAAGGGGUUGUGGCUGGCAGCACAUAGGAGCUUAUAUCAAUCUUGCUGCAUUUUACCUUUUCGGAAUUCCAAUUGCUGCAGCACUGGGUUUCUGGUUGAAUUUGAGAGGAAAAGGUCUUUGGAUCGGAGUACUCUCCGGCGCUACUUUACAAACGAUUAUGCUUGCCACAGUAACAAGUUUUACGAACUGGGAAAACCAGGUUGUGCAUUCCUUUCCUUUAUCCGCUUUUCGCUUUGAUCAUGAGACAGAUAUUACUUCUGCUACAAAAUUUCGAUUUCUCUCUUUUUGUAAAUGAAAAUCUUGUUAUGCUUCCAUUCUUCAGGCAGCUAAGGCUAGGGAGAGGUUAAUUACGGAGAAAUCUUCAGCUGAGGCGGCAUUUGUUUUAAGAGAAUAAGAGAAGAUUACGAAGGAGUCGCCUCUCCUUAUCUUCAUGCCUCCUUUAUGUAACAUCCAUUGGACUACAAAAUUCAUCGAUAGAGAUGACGUUCAUGAGGUCUAUAUGAUAUAGUGCAAGAAUUCGUCGAUAAAUAGGGCAGUGACAUGUUAAUAUUGGAGAAAGGAAAAACUAAUCGCCAAAGUACUACUAAGGUGAGUAAUGUUCAUAUUUCUAUGAAAACUAUUUCGGUUUGAAUAAAGGUUAGAAGCCUAUUUCACUUGACAUUUUCCUUGUAGCAUAUGCUUCUUCCAACACCUUGCUAUUUGAGUAUAAAGCCCGGUUGAGAAGAUUAUGUUAGACUUGGCCGCUACUCACUAGUGUCAUUAAACGUAAAUUUUAUGUUCAGAUGCAUGUUGUAACUCGCCGGUACGAAUGCACUUGUUACUGUUGUAAAAAUGCUG